UUUUAGCCCAGAGGGUCCCGAACCUUCGGGAGACAUCCUUUUCUUUUUUCUUGCAAAAAAGAAAAGAUAUAGUGUACAGCUGGAAAUAGC
RNAcentral lists this small RNA (90 nucleotides) under Flavobacterium sp. 123. RNAcentral describes it as "Flavo-1 RNA". The record is from RNAcentral. Lineage: Bacteria; Pseudomonadati; Bacteroidota; Flavobacteriia; Flavobacteriales; Flavobacteriaceae.